AUGAAUUUCUAUGCCUCACAGUUAUUUGACAAGAAUAAAGUAUUCCCGCAUCGCCGUAUUCCUCAUGUGGAUAUGGAGUCAAUACCAUGCUUUCGGCCAGUCUUGGUUGUUCUUCAUGAUGCCGGUCUACUGAAUUUCUGCACUGACGUCUCUGAUUGGAAUGAAGAACUCAUUCUUCAAUUUUAUGCAACUGUACACUUCUCAGGCAAUACUAACGACACUGCAACUUGGGCUCUGGACUGGAUGAGUGAAGACACUCACUACAAAGCUGAAUUGCUUCAUGCUCUUCCAGUGGAUCCACCCCAAGAAGGAGCAAAUAAAAUUUAUGAAGAACCUGAGCUUCCUAAUCAUCUGAUGCAAUUGCUGAUGAAGCCUAUGGCUGAAGAAAAUGCUCCAAGGACAACCUUCCUAGUGAAAGAUUUCCUAUAUGUUCCGAAGACUGUCUAUCGCAUUCUGGCAACGACCCUCAAUCCGAUCAAAGGCCACAAUUCAAACACGAGAAGUUUUGGGAGUUAUGAAGAACCUGUUGCUUCAUAUCAUCCAUGUAACUCCUAG
This 555-nucleotide ribosomal RNA is filed under the name Triticum aestivum (bread wheat). Its description in RNAcentral is "partial small subunit ribosomal RNA". The record is from RNAcentral. Lineage: Eukaryota; Viridiplantae; Streptophyta; Magnoliopsida; Poales; Poaceae.